UGGGGGGCUGCCUAAUAAUGCAAGUCGAGCGGACUUAAAAGCUUGCUUUUUAAGUUAGCGGCGGACGGGUGAGUAACACGUGGGCAACCUGCCUGUAAGACUGGGAUAACUUCGGGAAACCGGAGCUAAUACCGGAUAAUCCUUUCCUACUCAUGUAGGAAAGCUGAAAGACGGUUUACGCUGUCACUUACAGAUGGGCCCGCGGCGCAUUAGCUAGUUGGUGAGGUAACGGCUCACCAAGGCGACGAUGCGUAGCCGACCUGAGAGGGUGAUCGGCCACACUGGGACUGAGACACGGCCCAGACUCCUACGGGAGGCAGCAGUAGGGAAUCUUCCGCAAUGGACGAAAGUCUGACGGAGCAACGCCGCGUGAGUGAUGAAGGUUUUCGGAUCGUAAAACUCUGUUGUUAGGGAAGAACAAGUACGAGAGUAACUGCUCGUACCUUGACGGUACCUAACCAGAAAGCCACGGCUAACUACGUGCCAGCAGCCGCGGUAAUAA
This 502-nucleotide ribosomal RNA is filed under the name Niallia circulans. Its description in RNAcentral is "bacterial SSU rRNA". It matches the Rfam family "Bacterial small subunit ribosomal RNA", at positions 38 to 526 of the family's 1533-position model. Lineage: Bacteria; Bacillati; Bacillota; Bacilli; Caryophanales; Bacillaceae. The record is from RNAcentral.